GGAUGUGAGGGUCAUCUGGUUGAGACAUCUGUCACCCUAUUGAUGGCCAGGGUUGAUUUGGCUGAUCUGGCCGGCUAGGUGGGUGUUCCCUUUCUCACAGCUCCAUACGCGUCUCUCCUGAGGCUGUUUGGUCAAAGAGGAUGACUUUCCCUGAUAGAGGAGGAUUAUUCUUCAGUCAAGCAUAUGUAAGUCUUUGUGCUCUCUUGCUAGGACCUCCCAAAAAUAUAUGUGUAUGUAAAUUAAUAUGUAUAUAUUUUAUUAUAUAUGUAUAAUUUAGUUAUGCGCAAACCACACAAAAUAACAUAU
This 306-nucleotide small nuclear RNA is filed under the name Cebus imitator (Panamanian white-faced capuchin). RNAcentral's name for it is "7SK RNA (ENSCCAG00000011714.1)". It matches the Rfam family "7SK RNA". From Rfam's summary of the family: 7SK was discovered as an abundant small nuclear RNA in the mid-70s but a possible function has only recently been suggested. Lineage: Eukaryota; Metazoa; Chordata; Mammalia; Primates; Cebidae. The record is from RNAcentral.